GAUGAACGCUGGCGGCGUGCCUAAUACAUGCAAGUCGAGCGAACGGACGAGAAGCUUGCUUCUCUGGUGUUAGCGGCGGACGGGUGAGUAACACGUGGAUAACCUACCUAUAAGACUGGGAUAACUUCGGGAAACCGGAGCUAAUACCGGAUAAUAUUUUGAACCGCAUGGUUCAAAAGUGAAAGACGGUCUUGCUGUCACUUAUAGAUGGAUCCGCGCUGCAUUAGCUAGUUGGUAAGGUAACGGCUUACCAAGGCAACGAUGCAUAGCCGACCUGAGAGGGUGAUCGGCCACACUGGAACUGAGACACGGUCCAGACUCCGACGGGAGGCAGCAGUAGGGAAUCUUCCGCAAUGGGCGAAAGCCUGACGGAGCAACGCCGCGUGAGUGAUGAAGGUCUUCGGAUCGUAAAACUCUGUUAUUAGGGAAGAACAUAUGUGUAAGUAACUGUGCACAUCUUGACGGUACCUAAUCAGAAAGCCACGGCUAACUACGUG
Molecule: ribosomal RNA, 497 nt
Filed under: uncultured bacterium
Lineage: Bacteria
Description: partial 16S ribosomal RNA
Rfam family: Bacterial small subunit ribosomal RNA
Source: RNAcentral